GCCAGGCCUCUAGUCCCAGCUACUUGGGAGGCUGAGACAGGAGGAUCUCUUGGGCCCAGGAGUUCUAAGCACUAUGCUGAUGGGGUGUCUGCACUAAGCUCGGCAUGAUGACCUCCUCCAAGCAGGGGACCACCAGGUUGCCUAAGGAGGGAUGAACUGCCCCAGGUCAGAAACAGAGCUGAUCAGUAGUGGGAUCACACCUGUGAACAGCCACUGCUCUCCAGCAUGGGCAGCACAGCAAGACCCUGUCUCUU
RNAcentral lists this signal recognition particle RNA (254 nucleotides) under Homo sapiens (human). RNAcentral describes it as "Metazoan signal recognition particle RNA". It matches the Rfam family "Metazoan signal recognition particle RNA". Rfam says of the family: The signal recognition particle (SRP) is a universally conserved ribonucleoprotein. It is involved in the co-translational targeting of proteins to membranes. The eukaryotic SRP consists of a 300-nucleotide 7S RNA and six proteins: SRPs 72, 68, 54, 19, 14, and 9. Lineage: Eukaryota; Metazoa; Chordata; Mammalia; Primates; Hominidae. The record is from Rfam by way of RNAcentral.